AUGCCCCUAGACUUCACCAAGCACUUCCCGGCCCUGCUGACAGAGUUCAAACUCAAGACGAACACCGGCUGCUCAUGGAAGGUCACUAUGAGGCUGAUGAACGGCAGGAUCACUCUUUAUCAGGGUUGGGCCAUCUUCGCCGCCGUCCAUCAGAUCAAGGUCGGGUACAUGAUGACCUUCAAGUUGCUGACUCCCGACACGCUCGAGGUCAUCGUCUUCAACAACAACGACAUUUUAGUGGUGACCAAGUGCGGGAGGCACGAACCUUCAUUGUGA
Molecule: ribosomal RNA, 276 nt
Filed under: Triticum aestivum (bread wheat)
Lineage: Eukaryota; Viridiplantae; Streptophyta; Magnoliopsida; Poales; Poaceae
Description: partial small subunit ribosomal RNA
Source: RNAcentral